AUUGAACGCUGGCGGCAGGCCUAACACAUGCAAGUCGAGCGAGCGGCGGACGGGUGCGUAAUGUAUGGGGACUGCCCGAUAGAGGGGGAUAACUACUGGAAACGGUAGCUAAUCCCGCAUACUAUCGGAUAACCCAUAUGGGAUUAGCUAGUCGGUGAGGUAAUGGCUCACCUAGGCGACGAGCCCUAGAGGGUCUGCGAGGAUGAUCGGCCACACUGGGACGUAGACACGGCCCAGACGCCUACGGAGGCAGCAGUGGGGAAUAUUGCACAAUGGGCGCAAGCCUGAUGCAGCCAUGCCGCGUGUAUGAAGAAGGCCCUAGGGUUGUAAAGUACUGUCAGUCGGGAGGCGUUACCGACAGAAGAAGCACCGGCUAACUCCGUGCCAGCAGCCGCGGUAAUAC
This 403-nucleotide ribosomal RNA is filed under the name uncultured bacterium. Its description in RNAcentral is "partial 16S ribosomal RNA". It matches the Rfam family "Bacterial small subunit ribosomal RNA", at positions 30 to 526 of the family's 1533-position model. The record is from RNAcentral.